Molecule: transfer RNA, 75 nt
Filed under: Methylobacterium sp.
Lineage: Bacteria; Pseudomonadati; Pseudomonadota; Alphaproteobacteria; Hyphomicrobiales; Methylobacteriaceae
Also listed under: 91 other names
Description: tRNA-Gly
Rfam family: tRNA
About the family: Transfer RNA (tRNA) molecules are approximately 80 nucleotides in length. Their secondary structure includes four short double-helical elements and three loops (D, anti-codon, and T loops). Further hydrogen bonds mediate the characteristic L-shaped molecular structure. tRNAs have two regions of fundamental functional importance: the anti-codon, which is responsible for specific mRNA codon recognition, and the 3' end, to which the tRNAs corresponding amino acid is attached (by aminoacyl-tRNA synthetases). tRNAs cope with the degeneracy of the genetic code in two manners: having more than one tRNA (with a specific anti-codon) for a particular amino acid; and 'wobble' base-pairing, i.e. permitting non-standard base-pairing at the 3rd anti-codon position.
Source: RNAcentral
GCGGGAGUAGCUCAGGGGUAGAGCACAACCUUGCCAAGGUUGGGGUCGAGGGUUCGAAUCCCUUCUCCCGCUCCA